GGCACUGCUAUCAUGGGGCACUGGUAACAAAUAAAUAUCACUUUGGAGGCCAUGUGCAGAUCAGAUUUGGAAGUGACCAAGACUGGAGGCAGGGACACCAGAGUUUUCUGUUAAAAACUGGUCCAUGCAAGAAAAGAUGACUCCUGAAAUAAGACAGUGAUCAUUAGGAUGAAGAGGAAGAGAAGAUUUGAGGAAUACUUAGAACAGAAUUUACUGAAUUUACUGGUUGAAUUGAAUGUGAAGAGGAGAUGAAUAAAGAAGAAAACACCCUCAAAGGAACAAAUAUGAAACAAUCUCUGGAAAAUGGAAUUUGAUUUUGAUUCAACAACAGGAGAAUUCUACUGUUUUUCUCCAGCAGCUCCACGAUAAAAGUGAAUUACACACUUCUUGAGGGUGGUGACAGAUAUUAUCUUUCAACCCUACUCAUCAUGAUGCAAUUGAAAAGUGGAUGAGUUGAUUUGCUGAAGGUUGAAUUCUUGCAGGAGGCAUGAUGAAGAAGAAAAGCUUCACUUCUCUGGAGACAGGAAGUCUGAAUUCUACUCUGUGGCUGCCACUUACAAGUACAUAGGAACUGAAAACAAGGACACCAUGUGAACUUGUAUGGCCACUUUCAACGCUGAGCAGUGGCAGAUGCUUUUGGUACUUUGCAUCUCUUCCUCUCGGCCCCUUACUGAUUUCAGCCACUGUGUCAGUGGACAAUCUCUCAGAGUUCAGAGACUCAUCUCUUGCUGGCAGCUAUCUCCUGUUUUCCUGGGAUUUGGCUCAGGAAAGAGGACACUGGAAGAGGCAGGGAUUUUUGUCCUUGGGCAAUCAUUAACCAAGGACAAUGGGAAGCUGUUGGAGAAAAUUUUCAGCCUCUUGUCUUUGGCCAGAAGUGGGAGAGGUGGAAGGGGAUGACUGCAGGGCGUUUGGUUUGCUUCUCAGAGGGCCCGGCAGAAAAAACCCACAUUUAUAACACAGCCUUAUGUUUCCUUUCCUUCUUCUCACUCUUCUGCUCAUUUAUUUCAGCUUCCUGAUAUCUCCUUCCAAAUAAACCACUUGCCCCCAAGUCUAA
RNAcentral lists this long non-coding RNA (1054 nucleotides) under Homo sapiens (human). RNAcentral's name for it is "long intergenic non-protein coding RNA 158". The record is from RNAcentral. Lineage: Eukaryota; Metazoa; Chordata; Mammalia; Primates; Hominidae.